Molecule: ribosomal RNA, 1372 nt
Filed under: uncultured bacterium
Lineage: Bacteria
Description: bacterial SSU rRNA
Rfam family: Bacterial small subunit ribosomal RNA
Source: RNAcentral
GAUGAACGCUGGCGGCGUGCCUAAUACAUGCAAGUCGAGCGAACGGACGAGAAGCUUGCUUUUCUGAUGUUAGCGGCGGACGGGUGAGUAACACGUGGAUAACCUACCUAUAAGACUGGGAUAACUUCGGGAAACCGGAGCUAAUACCGGAUAAUAUUUUGAACCGCAUGGUUCAAAAGUGAAAGACGGUCUUGCUGUCACUUAUAGAUGGAUCCGCGCUGCAUUAGCUAGUUGGUAAGGUAACGGCUUACCAAGGCAACAAUGCAUAGCCGACCUGAGAGGGUGAUCGGCCACACUGGAACUGAGACACGGUCCAGACUCCUACGGGAGGCAGCAGUAGGGAAUCUUCCGCAAUGGGCGAAAGCCUGACGGAGCAACGCCGCGUGAGUGAUGAAGGUCUUCGGAUCGUAAAACUCUGUUAUUAGGGAAGAACAUAUGUGUAAGUAACUGUGCACAUCUUGACGGUACCUAAUCAGAAAGCCACGGCUAACUACGUGCCAGCAGCCGCGGUAAUACGUAGGUGGCAAGCGUUAUCCGGAAUUAUUGGGCGUAAAGCGCGCGUAGGCGGUUUUUUAAGUCUGAUGUGAAAGCCCACGGCUCAACCGUGGAGGGUCAUUGGAAACUGGAAAACUUGAGUGCAGAAGAGGAAAGUGGAAUUCCAUGUGUAGCGGUGAAAUGCGCAGAGAUGUGGAGGAACACCAGUGGCGAAGGCGACUUUCUGGUCUGUAACUGACGCUGAUGUGCGAAAGCGUGGGGAUCAAACAGGAUUAGAUACCCUGGUAGUCCACGCCGUAAACGAUGAGUGCUAAGUGUUAGGGGGUUUCCGCCCCUUAGUGCUGCAGCUAACGCAUUAAGCACUCCGCCUGGGGAGUACGACCGCAAGGUUGAAACUCAAAGGAAUUGACGGGGGCCCGCACAAGCGGUGGAGCAUGUGGUUUAAUUCGAAGCAACGCGAAGAACCUUACCAAAUCUUGACAUCCUUUGACAACUCUAGAGAUAGAGCCUUCCCCUUCGGGGGACAAAGUGACAGGUGGUGCAUGGUUGUCGUCAGCUCGUGUCGUGAGAUGUUGGGUUAAGUCCCGCAACGAGCGCAACCCUUAAGCUUAGUUGCCAUCAUUAAGUUGGGCACUCUAAGUUGACUGCCGGUGACAAACCGGAGGAAGGUGGGGAUGACGUCAAAUCAUCAUGCCCCUUAUGAUUUGGGCUACACACGUGCUACAAUGGACAAUACAAAGGGCAGCGAAACCGCGAGGUCAAGCAAAUCCCAUAAAGUUGUUCUCAGUUCGGAUUGUAGUCUGCAACUCGACUACAUGAAGCUGGAAUCGCUAGUAAUCGUAGAUCAGCAUGCUACGGUGAAUACGUUCCCGGGUCU